RNAcentral lists this long non-coding RNA (1175 nucleotides) under Linum usitatissimum (flax). RNAcentral's name for it is "long non-coding RNA (LUSI_LNC003818)". The record is from RNAcentral. Lineage: Eukaryota; Viridiplantae; Streptophyta; Magnoliopsida; Malpighiales; Linaceae.
UACGUCCAAAAACUAAAAAUGCGCACAGAAGUGUAUUAACCGUGCGUCGCGCACAGCCGUGCGUUGUCCGUGCGACUCUGGAAAUCAGUGGAUAACUAGCAGUGUCUUGUCAGUGUGAAACAGCGACAAGCCUGACUUGUUCAUGAUGGUAAUCUUCUGAUCAAUCAGUUCCAUUACAUUUGCUCUUGUUGUAACAUGAUUUGUUGUCUACUUACGCACCGACCUAAAUGCUUACAAGUUAUAACAACACACAUCUCUCAGGUCAAUAUAAUGCUCGAUCAGAUUGAUCAGUAGCUGAUCUAAAGGCUUCUUUGAAGGGUAUGCCCUGGAUCCCAUCUGCUGAUCUACCUGUUAUCUUUUGCUGCUCAAGUUUAUAUAUGUUCCAAUUUGUUGCUCAAGUUUAUUAUGUUCCAAUUUGUGCUAUAAUUUGGUACUUAUUGUGAAGAUGUAGACUAGCUUGUCAUUAAUGGUGGAGAUAUCUAUCUGAGACCCAGGGAACAGCCUUUCUGGAUCUUUGACUCUUCUUUUCCAAGUUAGUGCAGAUGACUAGAUUCUUUCCUGACAGAAACAAGAUAGAAAAUGGAGAGAUCUCAUGGAGAACGUACGUACCAAGUAAAUUCCGAGCUAAGUUGCCAGCAGAACAGAACUCAUAGACAAGGUUUCGAUCCUUUCUGGAAAGGCCUGCAACGAACUUCUCUGGUGAACGAAUCAGAAGUAUAUGGCUGCAACAUGUUGAAAUCUGAUCCCCAUUCAAAUGACAUGCAUUCAUUCUCAGGCUUGUACAUGUAUGGUUGUCACCGCAACUCAACACAACAUACUUUUGAUCCUUUCUGGAAAUUAAAGACCAUGCUGCUGCAACACAGCACGACCCUUCACUGGCUGCAACAUUAAUUAUACUCCUCCCCCAGCUUCAAUCUGUCACUAAAAGGAAUCAAUACCAACCAUUUGUCAUGAGCUUUAUACUCAUCCACUUGUUGUUCCAAUUUCCAAAUCAGUGCGAUCUGCAAUCCAUUUUGUGAUAAGCCAUAUAUGCAUUGACUCUCUCUGUGCACUUUGUUCAUAUAAAGACAAAUGCAAGUGAAUUGUAUGGACUUACAUUGACUCUCUUUGAGCCCAUAUUAUGGAAGUAUAUGGACUUACGUUGGUCAUUUAGGGUCCAAUGGAAGCACUUGAGA